Schizophyllum commune H4-8 is the source of this 79-nucleotide non-coding RNA. The record is from Rfam. Lineage: Eukaryota; Fungi; Basidiomycota; Agaricomycetes; Agaricales; Schizophyllaceae.
GGCCGCCUGGCGUAAUGGCAACGCGUCUGACUACGAUUUGGUAAUCAGGAGAUUGCAGGUUCGACCCCUGCGGUGGUCA